UACGUAGGGACCGAGCGUUGUCCGGAUUCAUUGGGCGUAAAGAGCUCGUAGGCGGCUGCUCAAGUCGAAUGUGAAAACUCGAGGCUCAACCUCGAGCCUGCAUUCGAUACUGGGCGGCCAGAGUCUGGUAGGGGGAUCUGGAAUUCCUGGUGUAGCGGUGGAAUGCGUAGAGAUGUGGAGGAACACCGGUGGCGAAGGCGGCCUUCUGGGCCUGUUCUGACGCUGAGGAGCGAAAGCGUGGGGAGCAAACAGG
Molecule: ribosomal RNA, 253 nt
Filed under: uncultured bacterium
Lineage: Bacteria
Description: partial 16S ribosomal RNA
Rfam family: Bacterial small subunit ribosomal RNA
Source: RNAcentral